GCUGUUGAGAUUAGGUGGCUGCGGCAGUCGCUGGGCAGAACAGUUGCCGCGUCCCUCAGUGCCGCUCUCUAGGCAGCAGCCUCCUUGGCGCUCCGGGCUGGUCAGAGUGUAGCCGCACUAGAACCGGCCGCGGCAAAGGACGGGAUCGCAGUUGGCUGAGUGAUACAUCUUUGCUUUAUGAAAAAGGAAGAUUUUCCCACACCUAAGUAAUACCACUAUCCCUUCAAUUUAUUCCUUAUAUAAAUGCGUGUGUGUAUUCAUAAGUAUGUGUAAAUUUUAAUACAUUUAACAUUGAUGUCUAAUUUGAGAGAUGGCCAACAAUCAAAAUAAAAAUUUAAAAGGUAAUAUAUACAAUCUUACUAAAAAACUCAAGUAAAAUGGAAAACUAUACAAUAUUUUGAAGAAAACAGAAAAUCACUGGGACCUUGGAUUUGGCAGAAAGAUUUGAAAUACAGUAGCAAUUGCUCAACCAGAAGAGAAAAAGGAUCAACGAAUUGUAUUUUAUCACAAUUAGAAACUUUUUCUCUGUGACAGACUUUCAGUGGAAUGAAAAGACAAACCACAGAUUUGGAGAAAACAUUUUCACUUCACUUAUGUCAAUGACUAUGCCUAGGAUCUGUAAAGAAUGCUUAUAAUUUUAUAAUAAUAAAGCAAACGGCCCAAUUUUUAAAAUGGAUUACAAAUAAGCAUAUGAAAAGGUGCUCAACCAGCAACAAUAAUCAUUAGAGAAAUACAAGUUAAAACCACAAUGAGUUACCACUAUACCCUUGUAAGAAUGGCAAAAUUCUUAAAAAUCAAAACCUAACAAUAAAAAGCAAUCACCAGGAUGUAGAGCAUCUGGAACUCUCACAUGUUGGUGGGAACACAAAAUGGCAUAGCCACUUUAGAAAACACUUUGGCAGUUUCUUAAGCCCUUUCUCAGACAUUACCCGAUUUAAAUAUUUAUGUUUGUAAAAACAUGUAUAUAAGAAUGUGUAACAAUUUCAUUUACAAUUGCCGAAAACUAGAAACAACCAAGAUGUCCUUUGAUAGGCGAACAGAUAAACAAACCAUGUUGCAUCUGUUUGAUCCAUGCAGUGGAAUACCACUGAGCAAUAUAAAGAAAUGAUUUAUGUAACAACAUGGAUGAAACUCAAGUACAUCUUGCUAAGCAAUGAAAGAUGCAAAAGCAUGUGUUAUAUGAUUCAAUUUCUAGGACAUUCUAGAAAAAGUAGAAACUACAGGACCAAAAAUAAAUUAAUGCUAGUGGUUUGGGCAGGAGUACUUCAAAAGAAGUUCUUCUGUAUGAUACUGUGGUGGUGGAUGCAUGACUUAAGGCAUUGUCAAAGCUCACAGUACUGUAACUCUCCAAGUGAAUUUUCCUAUAUAUGAAUGAAGAAUCAACCAGAAAGUUGGAGGUUCCUAGGAGGAAAGCAGAUCAUGAUGAGUAGAAUAUAAUUGUGUUACAAAUGUAUGAGAUAGCCCUGAAAAGACAGGUGGAAAAAAAGCUGGCCUACUGUUGAUUUCACAAACAAUAUUUUGACCGGACACUGAGUAGCUAAAGGCAAAAAAAGUUACUGACAUAAACACUAUAUACUUUAAGGUAAGUUUGUUUCAUACAAGGGUACUUCCUGUACAACAAGGUUAUAUAAAUGAGUAAAUAUACUAGAUAAUGGAGGUGAGAGCCGGGGCUGGGGGAGCAACGAUGUAUGCUAUAGUUAGAAACAUUGCUAUAAACUCAGGGUUAGCUGCAAACAUUUACUGAGAGACACAGAGAAAUAUGAACAGCAUUGUAUACUCAAUAUAUAUAUAUAUAUACACACACACAAAAUAUAUAUAUACACUAUAUAUAUACACACACGCACCAUAUAUUUCCUAAUUCUAUACACUGAGAUGAGUUAGAAACUGACACUCUCAUAGCAAUGAGCCUAACAAGUGCCCACCUCAUGGUUACUAAAUAUCAGUACUAUUAUGUUCUCCAGUAUAAAGAACCAAGACUCUGGAUGAAUGGGUGAUUCUAAGGCCUAAUACCCGGAAAAUAUAAAAUGGAUCUGAAGUAUUGUUUAGUGCCAGAAAGGAAGGAAACACAAAAAUAAACAUUAAAGAAAGAUGGGGCAUGUCAAAAGGACACAUGCAAAACAGUGGACAAAGCUAGAAUAAGUUGAACGACAAAAUAACAGUAGUAUUGGAUUAUAACAAAAAUACCUACUCCUUAGUCCAUAUUGAUAAAUAAUUGAAAAGAGAGGCAAAUCUUCCUUACUGAAGAACUCCAAAUAGCAAGUGUAGAAAGACUGAAGAAAAUAGAAAUACACCAUAGUAGUAUCUGCUGCAGGAAAGAUCUAUGAAUGAAUAUUGAAAUUAGUAGGUGAAACUUUAAGGAGGAACUUCAGAGUAACUCCCCCAAAAUAUGUUUUAACUGGUGCAGUGGUUUCAACACAUUCACAUAUUUUCUGAUACCCUCGUGCAGGAGCCAGAGCUGAACUCACCACCCCUUGAAUAUGGGCUGAAGUUAAAAUGAUUUGCUUCUAAUGACUAAAACUACAGAAAGGGAAAAAUAGCUCAGUUACAAUGGAGGAACCUGACCCCCACCACCUUCACCACAUGGAUGUGAUACAAUGAGAAAAACAUCCUGCCUGUGAGGCAGUCUUCUCCGGACCUAUAACCUUAGAAUAAUCCUGGGAAAAUUUAGACAAACCCAAACUGAGCAACACUGAUAACUGACCAGCAUUCUUCAAAAGUGUCAGCCUCAUAAAAAAUAAGACUGAGAAGCUGUCAUAGGUCAGAGAAGAUUAAGAUCUGCUACCAUAAAAGUAAUGAUGGAUCUGGAUGGGAUCCUGGAUCAGAAAAAGGACAUUAGUAGUUAAACUGAGGAAAUAACUGUUGCUUGAUAGAGUUGUAUUAAUGUUAAUUUCCUAGUCUUGGUCAAUAUACCAAGGUUACGUAAGAUGCUAAUGUUAGGGGAAGCUGGUGAACACAAAAGAAUCUUAAGUAUUUAAAGAUAUGUAAGAACUAUGAAGAAAAGUAUAAAAAAAACUUCACUCAGAGACAUUGAAGAAGACAAAUAAUUAGAGAACUAUGCCUUCAUUCCACUGACUAGAAGACUCAAUACUGAAAACGUUCUCCUUAAAUCUUAAAAAAAAUUCCCAAAGUUUGUUUGUGAGCACCUUUGCAAGCUGAUUAUAAAAUUUAGAAGUGUAAAAGGCCAACAAUUGGUAUUAUUCAAGAACAGAGUGGAGAACUUGUUUUACUAAACAUCAGUACUUCUUCCAAAGCAAUGGUCAUGGAAUGUGGUGCUGAUGCAAGGAGAGACUAACAGGCCAGUUGGACAUGACUGAGCAUCAGGAGAUAGUCCCCACAUAUGGACACUUGCAGUGUAUCAGUGGUUGCCUGUAUAUCAUUGAAAGAGGAUGGACUUUUCAAUAAAAUACUCAGGAGCAAUUGCAUAUGCACAUGGGAAAAACAUUAAAAUUGGACCCUUAAUUUCCUAACAUUAUACCCCAAAAACUCAUUCUUGGCAUUCCAGGGGAUUGAAGGCCUAGUUAUGAAAAGCAAAGCUAUAAAACUUAUAUAAUUGAAUAUAGAAUAUCUUCAUAACCUUGGGAUUAGGAAGAAUUUUUUAAAAUCCAAAAGUAAUAACCAUAAAGGAAAAGAUUAAUUUGAUUACAUUAGAGUCAAGACCUAAUCAUCAAAUUACAUUUUAAAGAGUGAAAAGACAACUACAAAAGAAAAAUACCCACAAAAUAUAAAGAACUCCUGCAAAUCAAUAAGAAAAAUAUAAGGGACCUAAUUAAGAAUGAGCAACAGACAAAAUAGCACAUCAUAAAAGAGGAAUCUAAAAGGCUGAUGAGCAUGUGGAAAGGUGUUGUGGCUGACUAGCAAUCAAGGAAAUGUAAAUAAACUCAGGAGCUCAUGGUCCAUGGGGGCCAAUGGCAGACUUCCAGCAGGAAACUGCACAGACAUUACUUAGUUGCAGCCGGGAGAAGGGCUCUGAGUGAAGGGCUCUGUGCCCAUGACAUCCUUGGAGAGACCAGGCAAGGACUGGUAAGCCUUGAGGAAUGUGUGCAACAUUCAGAGGCCCACAGGUCUGGAACCUGGUGUGAGCAUUUUACCGCCCCCAUUUUAGAGACUCAGGGCUGAGAUUCAAGUACCCUGGGUUAUAUUAUACAGUUGUCAAGUGAAAGAGCUAAAACUUCAUCCAGGAUUCAAAUGUUCUUUUGGAAAAUAAGAAAAAGAACACAAAUACAUAUUUCAAUGUCUGCAUCACUUGUAUACAGAAUGAAGGAGCGGCUGCAAGAGGGGCCUGCUUUACAAACACCCAGGAUGAUAAGUGCCAUCUCCAAAGCCUGAGGGCCAAGGCUGAGCCACUCGACCCCUGAGAAAGGCCCUGUGCUGGUGUUUUAGGAAAUUAAAAUGUGCACAUCAGUUGGCUGCUCAGAGCGGGUGGGGCUUGCACCUGCCAGAGAGGAAUGUGUGCUCUUUGGUUUAAUCCUGGGAACAGCACAAGGGGCCCUGCAAGUGAGAGGGGCUCCACAGGGUUGUUUUUCCAAAUCAAAAGGAGAGACUGCUAUCUGCCAGGCAUGUGUGUCGGUGACUGUUGGGUGUGCUUCUUCCUCCACAGGGACACAAAAGACCAGGGCUGCCACCUCCUCUUCAAUUUGACCUGGAGCCCCAGCCAGUGCAGAAUUCUAGAAGAUUGUGGAGGGGUGGGGGGCAGGGACUCAACUCCUCCUAGAUAUGGUGGUGCUGUUUCUUUUAGUCAAGGACUUGGGACAAGUGCUGUACACUAACAGGCCCUGCUGGCCACUCCCACUUCUGAGGAGCCCAGUGUUGGUCUAUCACAAUGAUGUGAAAAGAUUGCCCAGCUGCAGAGCAAGCAGAAUCCAUGGUGAAUGUGACAAGGCAGCUCAUCUGGACACCCAGACCCUGCAGAGGGCAAUGGAGCAGUGCCAGGUGUUCUCUGCUGAACCAGCCAGAGUGCCUGGCCCUGGGGAACAAGCACUAUUUCCUGGUGACAAUGAAGUCACACUUUUCUAAGGCAGUCCCAGUUUUUGAUGCUUUCAUUCCUUGGCUGUCUUUGCCUUUUCAAGGCCAGAAUUUGGGCCUAAGUUUUCAGGGCAGAACAAAACAAUUUUGUUUUCUAGGAAAAUGGGAGGUCUGGGAUGGCGAAUGCAGCAUCAGGCGUGGUGACUGCCCCAGCUGGGGCCGCCAGCUGCCAAGUCUCACCCUGUCUCAAGAGAACCGGAACCAGACUCGGCACAGCAUCUUCCUUUCCAGCCAGUAGACCUGCUCAGUAGGGUUAUUUGAAUUUUAUUUUACAAAAUAUAACCACAGAAAAAAGACUGGAAGGAAACAGAUCAAAAUGUUAAUUGUGUUUGUCCUUGUGUCAAGGGACUUUGGGUGAUUUUUAUUUCCUUCCUUAUCAUGUUUGUGUUUUCAAUUUUGAAUGCUAUUUUCAUAAGUCAGAAAACAAUAAUUCUUGAAAGUCUCUCUUAUCUGUGCCUUGCUCUCAGGCCCAUGGCCCUGCUACAUGUCAUCCUGGAGUUAACAGAAUGUAUGAGUGUCCCACAUCCCUUCCCUCUUCCUUAAGUUGUUCAUUUGGCUAGACUCUACAGAACUCUUCUGCCAUGAAGUUCUCCAAGUAUUUCCAUUCCAACAGCAUGCGGCCUCACUUUCUCUGCAUUGAGCGCUUACUCCUCCUUGCUUAUACCAGGUCAGCAUUCAAGUGCCAGGUAAUGGUCCAGCUCACCCCUGCUGCCCGCUGCCCUCUGCUGAGUGUUGUUGGCAUCUGUGCUCUUCUCGGUACCUUCACCCAGCUGCUCAGCCUCUGCCCUCCUCCUAAUUAAAAUCCUGCUUAAUCUCCCAGGUGUAACCCAAGACUUUUUCCCCCACGAGCUUCCCAAGAUUGCUGCCUCCUCUGGAUGACUGUGGGGCUUAUAUGUGCCUGGCCCUCAGCACAGGAACCUUGCAUUCUGCCUCCCCCACAUCCCUCCUGUGCCUGGCAUAAGCAAGAUUGCUGAGCCAGCUCAUCCCUCUGGAUAAACAGAAGCUGCCCCUUUCCUCCCCAAGGUGUGGCCCCUUUUCUGGCUUUCUCAAGAAAUCUCCCCCUCUUGGUGGAUUCACCAGAGCCUUGUGGAUACUGCACUGUGAAGAGAACUGUUCCCUAGGGCAUCUGGACAGCUGCAGCCAGGCCCUGCGUGACAUUGCUGAGCUGAAGCCCCACAGCCUGUGCCAGCUGCCAUGCCCAACUCAUAGACCCUGAGCCAGAGCAGCCCCGUCACCACCUGUGUCUCCUCUCAGAGGCGAGAAGUAAGGGACACGGACAGAAAGAGUAAAAGCCAUUCCCACAACAGCUGCCAGGAACAAGGCGAGGAGUGGAGUGAAAAUGUAUAUUCACAGUUGGCACCCAGUUCCGCUUAGGAAAAUACCUUGCUUGAGUGGACACCUGUUGUUUUUGCCUGCCCAGCAGCCAAGCCUGGCUUUUGGAAACAGCUUCUUGAAUCUUCUUUAAAGGGAUUCCCUCCUUUUCUAUGCCUAGGGUUCAAGGUGCAGGUACCCACUGGCCAACUUCAGAGGGGUUGUUGUGGCUCCCACCUUGGACACCAGAAGCAGAGUUGCACAUCAGAGGAUGGUUUGUAUCCUGUUUGGGGUCAACGACAGCCUGGCUCAGACUAUGGCAGGAAUUAUGAGAAAAAGAGAUGACCUUUUUUGCUGGUUUGCCGAUUUUGGCGUAUACAAGCUAAUUAAUGGCUAUCUUGUCUAUUCGAAAGUGGUUGCCUAAGGAUAUAGCUAUGUCAUGGGGCCAAUGGAUAGAGAAAGUGAGAGAGAAAACAAAAGAAUGAACCGGGUGGAGGGGGGAGGAGAGCAAGAUCAUCACAGCCCAGGGGUCCAGCUGUGUCUGGAACAGCUGGGUCCAGAUGUGUGAGCCAAAAAAUGUCCCUUUUGUCCUUAAGCUAGUUUGAGUUGGGGUUCCAUCAUUUGUUACCCAGAGAGUCUUCAGGAAUGUGUGUGACAAACUUGAGGGUGACACGUGUGUUUAAGAUGUGGCUGGGAGGGGGAGGUCAAGGUUACAAAAGAGCUAAACUCCUCCAGAUAGUCCUUGCUGGGCUUUGCAGGGCAGAAGGCAGGGAGGAAAAGGCUGGUGGGAAAGAAGUUGGCCUGAGGCCUGAGCCCCAACCCUGCAAAGCCAGGGAGCUCUGGGAAAGGGGCUCCCUAAGGCUGGUUUUUGACUUUCUACUAUUGUAAUGCAAAUCCCCAUAACUUCAGGGAGCCCCUUUCCACACUCUUGUGUAAGAGGGUGUGUGGAGCAAAUUGUGGAGCAUGUUGGGGCUCAUUUAGUCAAAGGUGAUCCAGAAUAGAUUGGACAUGACAGUGAUACAAGAGUUGAAGACCUGUGGAAUCCGGAGAAAUCCCUGUAAGGAUGCUGGCCUCUGUACAAUCCUUGAGUUUCGAUUUAUGGGUCCCCUUGUCCUCCAAAUGCUUCCCUUCACAAUGGAGACACGGAUAUCAGCAUAUACAAAUCCUGGAAUCAGUGGAAAUAGUUUUGUGGGCCCAACAGUGGAGUCUGAAUAGUGGAGAUGCUGAGCAGGACAGACAACAGAGGCAGGACAGGGUCAGCCCUGAGUGAGCCCAGGAAAUGGAAAGAGAGCAACACAGCUACCCACAAAACAAAAUCAACCCACCCGAGUCUCCAUGCUGCAGGAAGUCACUGUCCAGGUCUCCCAAGACACUUUCAGGGGAAGGUUCCAGGCAACAAGAGCAGCCCCGGGAAACUUUAAUAUACAAUGGAAUCUGGGUUAAGCACUAUCUUCUCCAAGAGUUGAGCUCACAGGACAUUCCCCAGAAACCUCUGGAGAGGUGGGGAGGAAAGUUUCUGGAGGUCUUUGGAUGAAGAAAACAAAAAAGUGGCCUUGAUUUUCAAGGCAAAAUUACACAGGAAGAAAAAAAUGUUUUUAAUCUAAUUAAGAGCGAUCUUUUCACCUUCAUCACAACAUCACGGAAAUGUGCCAGUUCUUAACUUCACACAAUAAUCAAAGCAAUUAGUGAGGGAGAAGCCUUGGAAACUGGUGCAGAUGUUCUCAGAAUGUUUAAUGGGGAAAUGAGUUGCAGGCCUCGGUCUCAGCAUCCGGCUCCAGGCCCUGGCUACCAAAUCCAGACAUCUGCUGAAGCCCCACCCCCAGGCCCCGAGGGCGCAGGCUUGAGAAACACAGGUCCCUUCCCAGGCUGCCUCCAGCCAGGCCAGAUCUGGGACUGAAAGGCUCCCCGUGGCUUCUCAAGCCAGAGCCUGGACACAGUCAGAGCCACCCCAGAGCUGGGGGGAGACUUAACGUCAAAAUUAUGUUAACAACUGAUGUCAAAAGUAAUCAACUCAGCCUGGUUCCCCCAUUCCUGCUGCCUGUAGGAGGACUGUGAACAAGAGGAGGGCAAGAGGUCCCAGAGGUACCUCUGCAAAGAACCCCUCAUCAUGAACACCAUUUCAUGUAAAGAUAUAGUAGCAUCUGCUCAGUGUGCCUUGUGGGCCUCAUUUGAAUGCUGCUGGACCUACUAGGUCCAGGAAUCAAACUGGGCAAUCCUUGAGAAAUUUCCAGUAAUCAGAAAACGUGUACAAGUGAGGAUCAUCCUUAGGAAAUAGCCUGUUCCAAGAAGGAGAAGGAUGCAUGGCUAAUGUUAAAUGGCUGUAGGAGAGAUAGAAUCCCUGGGCAGGCAGUUUAGUAAACCUGGAUUCCCUACUCGAAUGGCAUGCACUAGGAACAUGGAGGUAAGAAAAUAUUGAUCCUGUUCUCAGGGACACAGGCAUUGUGGGGCCCCACCUGCGUACCACCUUCAGCAUGCACAUCUUUCACACUGAAGGCUUCUCAAUGUAUGCCUCCCAGAUACACUAAUGAGCACCAACCCUGAUAUCAGGGCUGCUUAAUUGUGCAUUUGGCAAGAGGGAUGGGAAAUGAAUCCUUGGGAAGUAUUCAGUAGUGACAAAUAACCAGUUUCCUUCUUCACUGGUAGAACUGUAAAGCAUGUUCUCUACAGAGAUACCCAGCUGCCUACCUUGGAGCUCUUUCUUGGUGACUGGCAUAGCAUUCCUGAGUUAGGCUUUACAUCCAUGGAAACUGACCCAAGACAAUGUGAGAGGAAGCUGCUGAAGCAUUUAUGAAAGGAAGCAGCAAGACACACUGUAUAUUUAAAGAAUCCUCUGGGGAUACUGUGGAAGUUGAGAGACCAUUGAAGAGGAAAGAGCAACAACCCAGGAAGAGAAAUGAUAGUGACAUUUACAAGACAGGUCUGUGGAGAGGUUAUGAAAGGGCAAAUCCAAAGAAUUGACAAAACUCGCUGAGGUAUUUGACGGGGGCAAUAAAUUUUUCUUAAAUGCAAAAUUUGAAAGAGACUUUGACGGAGGUUGGAGAACAAUAGCAUGCUGCUUCCCUCCCUCUGACUUCAAAUCUCCCCAUAUACCUUCCUAAAACAAAACCAAACAAAAUUGCAUUUAAAGCAAUACAUGACCCAUGCAUUCUGCAGUACUAGAAAGCAAUACUAUGAACUAUGAAAGGAGAAAACCGAAUUCUGACCACAUUCUAGCCCUCUGCCCAUCAUUGCAAGCCUGUAGGUGCAAAAUGUCCAACAAAGCUUAAGAUGUUUUGUCAGAAAAAUUGACUAUGGUGAGCAACAUUGCAAAAAUAUUUCCAAGGACACUUCCCUUCACAGAUACAUUUUUAAAGAGGCAGAACCUCAGAAUCAACCUUGUCAAAACUCUGAAAAGCAGUUGAUGGUUUACAGCAAUUAAGUGAAAAAGUUAUAAUACAAUUUAAAAAUGGUAGGAAAUGAAGUGUUAUGGCACACACCUGUAAUCCCAGCAUUUGGGAGGCUGAGGCAUGAGGAUAGCCUCGAGUUCAAGGCCAAUCUGAACUACAAAGCGAGAUCCUGUCUCAAAACAACGACAACAACAAACAAAAUGGUAGGAAAGUGUUGUGGCAUUUUUAUUUGCCCUUUCAGCAGCACCCCCCCCCCCCAGCUUGGUCAAUCUUGCAGAUGGAAGCUUGUAGUGUAUUUCAAGUGUUGUAUACUAGUCCCUGGUUUUAGAAGGAGCAGAAAUCUUACUUUAAAAGAAUUGGGUCUUUUCUAUAUUGAUUGAGGGCUGCCUGAAGGACUGAUGUAAAGUGAUCGCCUUUGUUUCACCUAACUUACAACUGAUUCAGGGAGGAAAAUUUUGAAUGUUGCUUGCAAACAUGGUAAGACGCUUGAACAAAUCACGAUGACCUGGAGAACAGGAACCAGAGGAAAAGAUUCGAGGUUGAGGCAUGUUAGGCUACUGAAAACCUUUGACGACCAUCUACUGAGAGUUUCUCUGGGAAAAUGGAGCAUUGCAAAGCUUCUGUGUAUCCUGAGGAAAUCUGUAAAUCAAUGUAUGUUCACAGGGUUGGAUGGAUGCUAAGAAAAGCCCUCAGAACACCAUUAAAUUUACUGCUGGAUGAUUUCUAUGCUCACCUCAAACUGUAAAUGAAGGCUAAGAGGGUUGUAAACAGCCUGGCUAAAUGUUGAAGGAAUACUCUAGCAGAGCUAAUUUGCAAAAGCUGCAAUAAUUUUUGUUUCCUUUUCAUGAUCUCUCUCUGACUCGUGGCACUCAAGGGUAUCUGUUAUAAUGAACUGAACAUAGGUUAAAGGAAAAGGAAUUACAAAGACCACCCCUGACAAUACACACUUCACAAAAAAUAGUUUAGAAGUCACUAAACAAACAGCUAUAGACUGUGGGAUUUAAAAAGGUCCUGAUUUCCAAAGUUAUCAUACAUAUUCUUAAAAUAUUUAGUGUUAAACAGAAAUAUGAGAAAAUAUAUGGCCAUUUAUAGAAGAAACUAUCUAAGGAAACACACUGAGCUUAUUGGACAAAGACUGCAAGUCUAAAAUAUUCUCAGAGAUCUAAACAAAUUAUGAGCAGAGAACUAAAGGAAACCAGGACAAUAGACAAUGUCAAUAAAUACAUAAACUACACAAAAAAAUUUAAAGUUCUGGGGCUGGGGAUUUAGCUCAGUGGUUCUGCCGCCUGCCUCGAAAGUGCAAGGUCCAGAGUUCAAUCCCCAAUACCAAAAAAAUUUUAAAAAAUUAAAAGAAAAUAAAGUUAUGGAACUCAAAAAUAUAACAAAUGAAGAAACUCAAUAAACCAGAGACUAGCAGGUUAAAUUAGCAGAUUAGGUAAAAGAGUGAGUCAGUGAAUUCAAGAAAGCUUGAGUAAAAUUAUCAAUUCUGAGCAUCAGAGGGAAGAGAAUGAAGAAAAAUGAGCCAAACCUGAUAGCCCUAUAGUAUACCAUCAAGAACACAGGAAGAAUAUUUCAACUUCCCCAAUUUGAUGAAGCACAUGAAUCUAUAUGUCCAUGAGCCUAUAGAAACUCCACAAAGGAUAAAAAGUCACUCAACAUAAACCGUUAAAAGAGAAUUGUGAAGGGAGCAAGAGACAUGACUCAUCAUGUAGUGAUUUCAAUAACAAUAACAUUUCUCAUCAGCAAGUAUGGAGGCCAGAAGGGAAUGUGAUGGCUUUAAGUGUUGAGAGAAAAAAGCAGUUUAACAGCAAAUAAUUUUGUAUCUAGCAAAAUUAUUCUUCAAAAAUGAAGAAUUCAGAGCCUUUCCAAAUGAACAAAGGACAAGAGUGCUCAUCACUAGUUGAUUUUCUGCACAAAAUGUGAUAAAGAGACUCAUGAUUAAAUAAAAGGACACUAGAAAAUAAUUUGAGACGGCACAUAAAAAUAUGAAAUUCUACAAUAGGUAUCUACACAAACAAAAUUCAGCAUUAUUCUAUUUUUAGUUCAUAAUUCAAUUCCUAUCUGAUGUAAAAAUGCAUAAAACAAAUCUAGAUAAUGAUACUUAAAUGUAUCUUACAUAAAAUACAUUUUGAAACUACAGGCACAUAUAAGAGAAUGGAGGUCUAUGGGAUUUUAACUUUUGUGUGUUAUUGAAACUAUAUUAGUAGAAGUCCAAACUAGAGUUUUAUAAAUUUAUAAUGUUAGUUGUAACUCCCAUCUAAACUAUGCAGAAAAUGUCUUAAAAUAUAUGCUUACAUUUCUACACGUAAGAGGCUUAGAAUGCACUACUGUGUCUUAACAAUUAAGUUAAAAGUUGAACAAACUGAAAAAUCAACUCUUUUAAAAUAUGUAGCAGAACUGAGAUUAGAGGGCAAACCACCACUCUCAAAACUGAAGAGAGACAGGUGGAUACAGAGAAUCAACAUAUUA
Long non-coding RNA from Heterocephalus glaber (naked mole-rat), 12188 nucleotides. RefSeq lists it as uncharacterized. Lineage: Eukaryota; Metazoa; Chordata; Mammalia; Rodentia; Bathyergidae. The record is from RefSeq and is a predicted model, not a curated record.